RNAcentral lists this transfer RNA (68 nucleotides) under Endecameris sp. ZJUH 20220006. RNAcentral describes it as "tRNA-Glu". The record is from RNAcentral. Lineage: Eukaryota; Metazoa; Arthropoda; Insecta; Hymenoptera; Figitidae.
AUUUAUAUAGUUUAAAAAUUAAAACAUUAUAAUUUCAUUAUAAAGAUAAUUAAUUUAAUUUGUGAAUU